CCUACGGGUGGCAGCAGUGGGGAAUAUUGGGCAAUGGGCGCAAGCCUGACCCAGCAACGCCGCGUGAAGGAAGAAGGCUUUCGGGUUGUAAACUUCUUUUGUCAGGGAAGAGUAGAAGACGGUACCUGACGGAUAAGCCACGGCUAACUACGUGCCAGCAGCCGCGGUAAUACGUAGGUGGCAAGCGUUGUCCGGAUUUACUGGGUGUAAAGGGCGUGUAGCCGGGUUGGCAAGUCCGAUGUGAAAUCCUGCGGCUUAACCGCAGAACUGCAUUUGAAACUGUUGAUCUUGAGUACUGGAGAGGCAGAUGGAAUUCCUAGUGUAGCGGUGAAAUGCGUAGAUAUUAGGAGGAACACCAGUGGCGAAGGCGGUCUGCUGGACAGCAACUGACGGUGAGGCGCGAAAGCGUGGGGAGCAAACAGGAGUAGAUACCCCAGUAGUC
RNAcentral lists this ribosomal RNA (442 nucleotides) under uncultured bacterium. RNAcentral describes it as "partial 16S ribosomal RNA". It matches the Rfam family "Bacterial small subunit ribosomal RNA", at positions 338 to 795 of the family's 1533-position model. The record is from RNAcentral.